RNA transcript from Physcomitrium patens, 1351 nucleotides. It is a transcript of the gene named protein XAP5 CIRCADIAN TIMEKEEPER, with no coding region annotated. Lineage: Eukaryota; Viridiplantae; Streptophyta; Bryopsida; Funariales; Funariaceae. The record is from RefSeq and is a predicted model, not a curated record.
CGACGUCUUCGGUCACUGGUUUUCUGCUACAAUAUCGGGGAGAAUAAGUAUUCGAGGGCUCUUUUGAAUGCCGAUGAUGGUACCAGCUUUGAAGCGAUUGAUAAGCAUUGAGGUCGAGGUUAGAGAGAAUUCUGUUAUUGUAGUGCGGAGGUUUGCGGCCAUGUCAGGGAUGGGGGAUGGGUACGUAGGCACCGCCCAGGAUGCCGCCAGGAUUCGGCGGCUUGAGAAGCAGCGCGAGGCGGAGCGGAAGCGUAUUCAGGACCUCAAGAAGAAGUCUGCGGAGGGGCAGGGAGGUCUUCUGCAAUUCGGCUCCGGCACUUCAGAGUUAUUGGAAAGUGCGUUCAAGAAAGAAACUGUGGGACUUGUGACUCGGGAACAGUUUGUGGAGAAGAGAGUCAAUUUGCAAUCAAAACUUGAAGAAGAGGAGAAAGAGAAGCAGCAGAAGCUCGCUCUAGAGGAGGAGCAGAGACAUGUGCAAAAACGGAAGAAACGGAGGGUUAAAGGCCCUUCACGUCUUUCUUUUUCUGAUGAAAUUGACGGGGACACAGAUGAAGAAAGUGAAGCUGUUGAGAAACAGAAAGGAGAACCUUUGAAACAGCAAAAGCUAGGAAAAUUUGGGAAAGAUCCUAAUGUCGAGACCAGCUUCUUACCUGACAGAGAGCGGGAGGCUGAGGAGCAAGCUGAGAGAGAGCGCCUGCGGAAUCAGUGGCUUCAAGAGCAAGCUCGCAUUAAAAACGAGCCUUUGGAGAUUACUUACAGUUACUGGGAUGGAGCUGGGCAUCGUCGAGUCAUACAGGUUCGCAAAGGCGACACUAUAGCUGAAUUUUUGCGAGCUGUUCAACAGCAGCUUGCUUCAGAAUUUCGAGAGAUACGUACGGCAUCUGUUGAGAAUCUCCUCUAUGUGAAGGAGGAUCUCAUCAUCCCUCACCAACAUAGCUUUUAUGACCUCAUUAUCAACAAGGCGAGGGGCAAAAGUGGGCCGGUAAACCUAAAGUCUCUAUUGCCUACUUUUUCAUUUUGAUGUCCACGAAGAUAUUCGAACAAUAGCAGAUGCUACGAUCGAAAAGGAUGAGUCGCACGCAGGGAAAGUAGUUGAGCGUCACUGGUAUGAGAAAAAUAAGCACAUUUUCCCAGCCUCAAGAUGGGAGAUAUAUGAUCCUACCAAGAAAUGGGAGCGAUAUACAAUUCACGGUGACUGACUGGAGUUCGGUUGGACGAUACCAGUCCGCUGAUCUUAUCAUCAGUUGUUUUAAAAAGUUUUGGCCACUCAGUUGCAGCUGAUUUUUCUUUUGACAACUUCACUUGUUAUUAUUUUAAUGAGAAAAAGUCUGACAUUCACACUUGCACACCA